This 250-nucleotide ribosomal RNA is filed under the name uncultured bacterium. RNAcentral's name for it is "partial 16S ribosomal RNA". It matches the Rfam family "Bacterial small subunit ribosomal RNA", at positions 524 to 773 of the family's 1533-position model. The record is from RNAcentral.
UACGUAGGGUGCAGGCGUUAAUCGGAAUUACUGGGCGUAAAGCGUGCGCAGGCGGUCUUUUAAGUCAGAUGUGAAAUCCCCGGGCUUAACCUGGGAACUGCGUUUGAAACUGGAAGGCUUGAGUGUGGCAGAGGGGGGUGGAAUUCCACGUGUAGCAGUGAAAUGCGUAGAGAUGUGGAGGAACACCGAUGGCGAAGGCAGCCCCCUGGGCUAACACUGACGCUCAUGCACGAAAGCGUGGGGAGCAAAC